Molecule: ribosomal RNA, 253 nt
Filed under: uncultured bacterium
Lineage: Bacteria
Description: partial 16S ribosomal RNA
Rfam family: Bacterial small subunit ribosomal RNA
Source: RNAcentral
GACAGAGGUCCCGAGCGUUAGGCGGAAUCACUGGGCUUAAAGCGUGUGUAGGCGGAUCGUUAAGUACCUUGUGAAAUCCCACGGCUUAACCGUGGAACUGCUUGGUAUACUGGCGGUCUUGAGCCACUUAGGGGCUACCGGAACAAAUGGUGGAGCGGUGAAAUGCGUAGAUAUCAGGAGGAACACCGGUGGCGAAGGCGGUUCUCUGGGCCUUACCUGACGCUGAGGAGCGAAAGCGUGGGGAGCGAACAGG